RNAcentral lists this ribosomal RNA (279 nucleotides) under uncultured bacterium. RNAcentral describes it as "partial 16S ribosomal RNA". It matches the Rfam family "Bacterial small subunit ribosomal RNA", at positions 506 to 784 of the family's 1533-position model. The record is from RNAcentral.
UGCCAGCCGCCGCGGUAAUACGGAGGGUGCAAGCGUUAUCCGGAUUUACUGGGUUUAAAGGGUGCGUAGGUGGGUCUGUAAGUCAGUGGUGAAAUCUCCGAGCUUAACUCGGAAACUGCCAUUGAUACUAUAGGUCUUGAAUAUUGUGGAGGUCAGCGGAAUAUGUCAUGUAGCGGUGAAAUGCUUAGAUAUGACAUAGAACACCAAUUGCGAAGGCAGCUGGCUACACAUCUAUUGACACUGAGGCACGAAAGCGUGGGGAUCAAACAGGAUUAGAUA